GUCUUCGUGGAGCAUGGGUGCUCGCUCCCGCCUGAUAUGACUUGGAGAAACACGUGUCAUCUGGGAGAGGCGGUGGUUCGACUCCACCCGAAGACC
This is a non-coding RNA of Mycena latifolia, 96 nucleotides long. Lineage: Eukaryota; Fungi; Basidiomycota; Agaricomycetes; Agaricales; Mycenaceae. The record is from the annotation of a GenBank genome assembly.